GCACAAGCGGUGGAGCAUGUGGUUUAAUUCGAUGAUACGCGAGGAACCUUACCUGGGCUCAAAUGUAUGUUGACGUAUUCUGAAAGGGAUACUUCUUCGGACAAUAUACAAGGUGCUGCAUGGUUGUCGUCAGCUCGUGCCGUGAGGUGUCGGGUUAAGUCCCAUAACGAGCGCAACCCCUAUCAUUAGUUGCCAUCAGGUCAAGCUGGGGACUCUAAUGAAACUGCCUACGCAAGUAGUGAGGAAGGUGGGGAUGACGUCAAAUCAGCACGGCCCUUACGUCCAGGGCUACACACGUGCUACAAUGGCCGGUACAAAGGGCAGCUACCUGGUGACAGGAUGCUAAUCUCAAAAGCCGGUCUCAGUUCGGAUCGGAGUCUGCAACCCGACUCCGUGAAGCUGGAUUCGCUAGUAAUCGCGCAUCAGCCACGGCGCGGUGAAUACGUUCCCGGGCCUU
Molecule: ribosomal RNA, 457 nt
Filed under: uncultured Sphingobacteriales bacterium
Lineage: Bacteria; Pseudomonadati; Bacteroidota; Sphingobacteriia; Sphingobacteriales
Description: bacterial SSU rRNA
Rfam family: Bacterial small subunit ribosomal RNA
Source: RNAcentral